CCUUGACCCUGAGUGCUGGGCUGCAGAGAGUUGAAAUCCAUCCCCAGGUUCCCCGUAGUUCAGAUCCAGCAGAAGUGACCAUACGUCCUGUCCACAACUAGGUGGCAAGAGCCUGUGGCUUUCAUCUCCGGCUCUCCAGCUUGGUCAUACAACCCUCGGCCGGGGAGCCGGCCACCAUGCCCGAGGACAGGCAGGCCACCCACGGGGAGGCCCAGGUGGUGAGGAGCCAAGGUCUCCGCAUUGCCAGCGAGGAACCGAGGCCAGGCAGCAGCUGUGAGCGAGCUGGAAGCAGAGCCCUGGUGUGGCAGCCAGGCUCAGCCAACAGCCCGCCUGGAACCCAGCUGAGCCUCCGGUUCCCAUCCCACAGAAACCGUGAGAAUAAACUGCGAGGUUUGGGGAAAUUGGUUACAUAGUCACAGACAAAUACGUCUGUCUUUACAUCACACCCUUCAACACGAUUUUUCAUUUUA
Molecule: long non-coding RNA, 470 nt
Organism: Homo sapiens (human)
Lineage: Eukaryota; Metazoa; Chordata; Mammalia; Primates; Hominidae
Exons: 2
Source: RefSeq, a predicted model, not a curated record